GACUCUCGGCAACGGAUAUCUAGGCUCUUGCAUCGAUGAAGAACGUAGCGAAAUGCGAUACUUGGUGUGAAUUGCAGAAUCCCGUGAACCAUCGAGUUUUUGAACGCAAGUUGCGCCCGAUGCCAUUAGGUUGAGGGCACGUCUGCCUGGGUGUCA
RNAcentral lists this ribosomal RNA (156 nucleotides) under Moschus moschiferus (Siberian musk deer). RNAcentral describes it as "5.8S ribosomal RNA (ENSMMSG00000012086.1)". It matches the Rfam family "5.8S ribosomal RNA". Rfam says of the family: 5.8S ribosomal RNA (5.8S rRNA) is a component of the large subunit of the eukaryotic ribosome. It is transcribed by RNA polymerase I as part of the 45S precursor that also contains 18S and 28S rRNA. The record is from RNAcentral. Lineage: Eukaryota; Metazoa; Chordata; Mammalia; Artiodactyla; Moschidae.